ACAUGACAUUUUGAUAUAGCCAUUUAAUGUAGGUAGAAAUGGCCAUGGAUGAGUUACUCAAAUACCAAUUUGGAUUAGCCCCCUGGCUGAUGCUGUUGGUUCUCUGCCUACAGACCUCCACACCCCGAGGGCAAACCUUAGACUCAUCAAUGCCAACAGGUAUGAGGGUGAGCUGGGCCAGUGUGCAGGAAAGUGCCAAAGAGUUCAUACACAGAGGCAGCCCUCAACCAAUGGAAAGACCAGGAAUUGGUAGAUAAACAACCAACUUCUUUGUUUCCCCAAUGGGAUAAUUUCAAUGCCUGUUCUACACUGGAACCCAGAGCUCCCCAGCUGAAUGAGCUCUGGUUGCCCGCAAUGGGGACCUGCCCAAUAGCACACCCUUAUUAGCCUCCUUCCCUCCCCUCCUCACUUCCUCCAUCCCUUACUUAACAGGUGUUUCCGGGGAUCUCCUCCCAAGGAAACAAUGUGUACUCAUAUCCUAUCUCAGCACUGCAUCAAAAGGAACUCAAAACAAGACAGGCACUGUUCUAAACUGUUUUUCUCUGCUAGAUCACAACUCUUAUUAAAGAACUCAAACCUAAGUCUAUCUUAUAUUCCGAAUUUUAUUACAGGAUAUUUAGGGCGCAACCUGGUAGGCAUAGAAGGUCUUUUCUGGGCAUGCUAAAUCCAGUCCUGCAAUUCAGAGAGUGCGCCUCAGAGACUUUGGAUCAAAUUGGGCUUGAAGUUCAAAUAAAUUAUCGGUGUCUGCAAGCCCAUUUCAAUCAAUAAAAACCAAAACAGAGUUUCUGGAGGUAGGAUUAUAAAAUGAUGCAGCCGCUUUGGAAAACAGUUUGGCGGUGUCUCCAAAAAUGUUGCACAGAGUUACCAUAUGAUCCAGCAGUUCCACUCGGUCUAUACCCAGAAGAAUUGAAAAUAUAUAUCCAUAAGAUCCUUGUACAUGAAUGUUCAUUGCAGCAGUAUUCCUAAUAGCCAAAAAAGGGGAAUCAACCCAAAUAUCCAGCAACUCAACCGAUGACUAGACAAUAUGUGGCAUAUCCAUACAAUGGAAUAUCAUUCAUCCAUAAAAAGAAAUAUAAAUACAUACAAUGACAUGGACGGACCUUGAAAAUAUUAGGCCAAGUGAAAGAAGCCAGUCACAGAAGGCCACAUAUACAAUUCCAUUUAUAUGAAAUGUCCCGAAUAGAAAGAUUCACAGAGGAGUUCCCGUCGUGGCACAGUGGUUAACAAAUCCGACUAGGAACCAUGAGGUUGCGGGUUCGGUCCCUGCCCUUGCUCAGUGGGUUAAGGAUCUGGCGUUGCCGUGAGCUGUGGUGUAGGUUGCAGACGCGGCUCGGAUCCAGCGUUGCUGUGGCUCUGGCGUAGGCCGGUGGCUACAGCUCCGAUUCAACCCCUAGCCUGGGAACCUCCAUAUGCCACCAUGGAAGCAAAAAGAAAAAAAAAAAAGAAUUCAUUCCAAAGGCCUGAAGUCAUUCCCUGGGGUGAGGACAGAACACAGGUCACUACACAAUUAAUUUCAACAUCAUGAUGUUUAACUAACAAUAAAAAUCUUGAACAAAGUCUCUAAAAUGAUCCACAUGAAACAGAAUUUCCCCUUGAAACAGAAUUACAAGACAAAGUGGGCAGGGCCUUGAGGAACACCCAAUCCCAUUCAGUAGAUGAAAGCUUGAGAAACUGAGGCUCAGAGAGAGAACUUGCCCAGGGACAUCCACUUAGAUGGCUGGGUCAUUUGGAGGAAAAGUUAUUCCAUAGUCCCAGGUUUUUUCCCCAAACCCUGAUUGGAAUCAAAAAUGAUUUCUCCCCUAGCAAUCCUUGACAAAUUUUUUUUUUGGCAAUUCUUAAUAAAGGCACUUCUCUGGCAUAAAUGCUAAAAUUGCCUAAAUACGGCUAACGCUUGGAUAAUGCUGGUUAAUCCCGGCUAAGGUUUGAUACUCUAAAGCAUCUUUUCCUAUCAAUAAACUUUUAUGUAGGAAACUCUCAUUUGCCUUGUGUUUCUUAUGGAAAUGUGAUUUGUACAUACAUCCUCCCUGCAUAAAUAUUUAGCCCAUCAUUGUGCUACAUGAAUUCCCUGCAAAUUAGGUGGAAAUCAGGCUCAGCUGACAGCAGCAUCUAUACUCAUCCAGGGGAAAAUCAUUAUUAUUUAGAACUUAUUAAGCCUCAGCAGUUAGUACUGGAUGGGCCUGGGAACAUCAAUAAAUACUGAGCACAGAUAUAAGCCAAAUGCUUGAGCUAAGAUUGCUCUUGUAAUUUCUACCUGCCAAGCGGCAGCAAAAGGUUGAAGGAAGAAAAUGGGUUGCAACUUGGUUCUGACAACUGCAAACUGUUGCAACAGGAGCAAACCACUAAAUCCCUCCUCAUCUAUAAGCUGGGUCUAACCAUACCUAUCUCACGGCGGGGGAGGGGGGGUCGUUAUAAAGAUUAAAGGAGAUAAUAACAUGUAAAGUAUUCAACACAUCUUGGCACUCAGUACGUGGUCAAUAGAUAAGUCGUAUCUAAAAAAACGAAUGAGCCCCAAGUGGUGAGAUGUGGAAUUGUUAGUUCACAGGUUGGUUAUAAGCCCUGAGUUAACAAACUUAACUUACUCCAGUCUCGACUAGGUUUUAUUUGAAGGUUGCCGUUCACUCUGACAAUAAGACAUAAAACUAAGCAGAGGACUGGUUUCACCUAACAUGGGAUAAAAACCUACAUGUUUAUACAAAUUGCAUCAUUAGACUUUGGAUCCAACGCUGUCCGUGUCCUACAGCCCUUGGACAUUUCCUUGUGCCCCAGCAACUUCCAUCUCUCAUAUCUGUAUCUCUGUGUGUAAAGGCUCUUGCUCCAGGAACUGUGGUGUGUAAAUAGCCCAGCUCCCUCGCCUCCUGUGUGGGGUCUUUUUGAAGCAUGUGUUUGCCCACAGGAUGACACUCCGGUCAACCAACACGGAUGCUGGCUCCAUCACACACUUUGCUGGCUCCUCUCUCUCCCUGUUUCACUUCCUCACUGGUUUGACCUCUUCUUCCCAAAUGAAAUCUCUUCAUUUGAAUCUUGUCUCAGAGUCUGGGAGAACUCUGAAGGAGUUCAGGCCAUGCCCCCCUAAAAUAUGCCGCUUUGGCAUAAUGAUUCUUUCUAACUGAGGACACUUGAGAAACUGCAGAUGCAAGAAGGGCUCUCUGACCUGCUCUUUUCUACUUAAAAACAGGCCAUAAAAGUUCCCAUGAGAAAAGCGCCCUCUCUGUACUGCAAAAACAAGAAUAUCUUUAUCACCAUAGAUUUGGAACAGACAUUGCAAUGGUUCUGUACAAAACAAACUUACUAAAAUAAUCCUGUCUUCCACCAGUUCCCCCUCCAAUAUUCUCUCCUAGUCAUUCCCCCACAAUGUACUGCCCCUGGCCCAAACCCCCAAACCCCUUUGUCAUCACUUCUUCAUAAAUUGAUCAUUUCUUUGUCUAAAAGGCAUAAAAGUUUCUGCUCUGUUCUUCAUUAUCUUGUGAAAGCUUCAUGCACAUGUAAAAAUGUAAUAAAACUUGUUUGCUUUUCACCUGUUAGUUCAUCUUAUGUCAGUUUAAUUAAUUCUUAGGUCCAGCUAGAGAACCCAGGAGGAUCGAGAAUUUUUCCUCCCCUACCACUCAAACUAAGUCACACACAUGCCAGGUUCUUAGGGCUGUGCCUGAAGCUCAGGAUCAAACCAAGUGUAAUGUGGGAGUAAAAAUAGCUCCCGUUCCCUGAAGGUUGGCCCUCCUAAGCUCCAGCCCCAUAUACCUGACAGCACACUGCUCUUUAGUUCAACCUGCAAAAGCCAUCUCCCCAUCUGCCCCACACACACCUGGGAAUAGCGCCAUCUCCCACUCAUUCUCGCAAGCCAGAAACCUGGACAUCACCCUCAUUUUCCCCUUUCCCUCCCCUGCCCUCUACCACUUCCAGCCGUUCACCAGGACCUGCCCAUCUGACCUCCUAAAUCUUCCCUGGGAUCAAUCACUUCUCUCCCAUCCCCACAACCACAGAGCCAAGCAAGACCCCCACCAUCUCUGGCCUCGAACCACUGGUGUAGCCUCCUAACUAUUGUCUCCUGUUCCCCUAACCGCCAACUCCCCACCCCCAAUACCACAGCCAGAGAAACCAGUCUUGGGAACUGCAAAUCAUAACAGCAACAAUGAACACUCAGUGAAUGCUGACUUUGUGCUAGGCACUGCUCUGACCUUAUGCCUCCCCCACUUAAAAUCCUCCACUUUCUGUGGCACUCAGGACAAAAACCCCCACCUCUUUGCUUAGGCCUCGAAGGCCCUGCAUGAGCUGGGCCACGGCUCUUUCUCUAUUUCCCCUGCUGGAUGGAAUUCUAAAGGGUCUCUUUCUGAACAAUUGUGUGCCUCAGUUUUCUGCUUUUAUUUCUGUGUGGAGAACUGAUGUCAAAGAUAAACACAGCCAGACAUUGGCUAAAGCAAUGAAAACAGAUUUUAUUCAGUAACUGAUAGUGAUGGAGGAGACACAGGUAGUUUUAGAAGUCCCAUUAAAGGAUCUAGAUAGAGAGGGGAAUCUGGGGGACUAUGGGAGAUCACUGUAAGUAAAUAAACUGCUCAAAAAAGCCAUCAGAACAAGGCAGCUUUGCUUCAUUAGUGAGCCUAGAGAAUCACCUCAGGUCUUUGUGGUGGGGAUGGAAUGAGGCCUGCAUUCAGAGUCAGACCACGGGCAGGAGUUUGAGGACCACCCUUCUGCUGAUUUGAAUACACACCUUGCCUGAUACUAAGGAGGAGCUACUGCUCCCAGAAAGGAAGAGGGGGGCUUUUCCAACCCCCACUCCCCUUGGAGGAUAAAACUGUAGCCCACCGGAUCCUCUGGGCAGAGCUUCCGUGCCUGCCCCCUUGCUUCUCUCACAAGCAUCCUAUCCUAACAAAUCCAUUUCUUGCCUGUCGCUUUGUCUCUUGCUGAAUUCCUUCUGCGCAGAGUCAUGAAGAACCUGAACCUCAGUGAGUCCAGACACAGGGUGAGUGAUUCUAACUUAACACCAUGGGUUUAAGUCCCAAUCUGGGUUUAGGCUGGGUUCGAGUCCCAGCACAUGAGUUCAAGUCCCAAUCAGGGUUUAGGCUGGGUUCAAGUCCCGGCACCUGGGUUCAAGUCCUAAUCUGUGUUCUGUCUGGCUAGGUUCAGGCUGUUAAAACUGUCAGUUUCAUAACCACUGACAGUAGGGGACAGUGCUGAGCCCCAUUCUGGCUUGUGCAGAGGUGACUUAAGAUUUUAAAAGAAGAAUGAGGGAAGAGGAAGGAGGAAUGGCAGGGACUUUGUUCAAGACAGGAAAGUGAAAAAUUACAAACAGCAGGAAGGGGUGGUUGGUCCACAUGAAACCCAUCUGGGUUUGCUCAAUGGGACCUAUCAAAGUUAAACUCCUACCCUCCCAUGGAGACUGGGAAAUGGGCCCUAUCUUCAGGUGUUGGUGGGAACAAACAGUGAAUCACUUCAUUUGGCAGUCUUCUCAGUUUUCUCAGUUUUCUCAGGUAGGAAUGUGGAGGCGACUAGGGUCAUCCUAGGGUUGCAACCUUGAGCUGUUAGCAGCUAUGCCAGUGUUUACUGAAGUCUGUAUAGGCCAAAGUUCAAUCCUACAAGAAGAAGGCUCAGGGGAGCUGGCCAGAGUUUGGUCAAGGACAGAAUCUUUGUCCCUGACUUUGGAUGUCCGUCAGUGCCAACUCCUCAUCUCCACCCCAAUCCCACCCAUCAUCUUCCCAGGCCUUCCUCCAACAUCUCCUCCAUCAAGAGGCAGCCCUACUCCUUGGGGCUCUCACUGGAACAUGUGGGAUGAGUAUGAGAUUAAGGAAGGUUCUAUGUAUCCCCUUUAACCAUCCAUAGGUUCUUUAGAGCAAGAACUGCUCCAGACCUCCCACAAGGCCUGGCACAGGACCCAACACACAGUAGGUGUUCAAAGAAGGUUUGCUGAGUUAAUGAAUGAAGCCAUCCAGCCUCAACCACAAAUGUUUGGGAAGUUUCCUUCAAACCACCUUCCCCCUGAGACCUGCGGUUGAUUGGACAAUUACUCCGGAGCUGGAACAAAUCACCCUCAGGCGCUCGAUAAAACUAUUCAAUGAAUGCUGCUGACAAAGGAGCUGAUUGCGCUGCUUUGACCCUGAAAGUAAUUACAAGCACCAGCAUUCAUCUGCCUGCGGGGGUGGCCCGGAAGGGGGUCCUCACCUUGAUGCAGCUCUGUCUUCUAAAUAAACUCAAAAGAGCGAAUGUUGACUCUUCCUCCAGGAUCACCAUCACUUGUUAGAAAUCAAACAAAGAGCAAGUGAGAGAUGUAAUCUGCACAGGCUACCAUCUCCCCCAGCCCAGCUGUGCUCCCUUAAUCAUCUCCAUCUCAGACACCAAACACUGUUCACCCCCUACCCCAGGCAAAGUCAGCAGGACAUCCCCGGAUCAAACGCCUGUUUGCUCUGCCCUCAGCCCUUCAUUAUCCCCUGCCACACACCAGCCACUACUGGCCUCAUUACCUUCUUGCUCCCACAUGGAAAAGCUGGAAGGCAUCCUGAGUGCUCCUUCUGACUCCUCCUCCAUCCAUCCAUUCAUUUGUUCUUUCCACAAGCACUUAUUGAUCACCUAUGAGAAGCAAGCGGACAGUGCUGGGUUUGUACUCAUGAACAAGAUAGACAUGAUCCCUGCCCAUAUGGAGUGCAACACCUGGAGAGGGAAAUACAAACAAUUUUAAAUUAAGCACACCUAUUAUUUGCAGCAUUCUUUGCCCGCCCCUGUAGGGAAGGAAUGUAGCAUAGAGUGAGAGGUCAUUACCCUUGUGGCCUUAAUGUUCCUCUCAGCUUGACCAAACUUUAAACAGUUUCCUCCUGACUCCAGACCCCAAACUCCCUUUUCUUAGAACAUUUACGUUAGAAAACUUGUCACUGUAAAUUCUUUCUUGGCCC
Molecule: long non-coding RNA, 6875 nt
Filed under: Sus scrofa (pig)
Lineage: Eukaryota; Metazoa; Chordata; Mammalia; Artiodactyla; Suidae
Description: lncRNA (ENSSSCG00000047398.2)
Source: RNAcentral